GAGACGCACUUUCUCCUCCUGGUUUGCCAGGUCUUACGGCCGAGUGUCCGAGAGGCAGGGAGGCACAGGGCAGGGGAAUGGCUGUGCUCCACGCUGCCGUCAGAAGGGCCCUGUGCAGGAUGGGUUAGCCGCAGGAGAGGCCGGCCCAGCCCAGCCCCACAGCAGGGGGGGGGGGGGGAGGAGAGGACCAAUUCAGGGGACAGGCACAGACAGAUGGGACAGGAUGUGACCUCUGGUUGGAUGCCUUCUUUUGCGUCGUUCCAGUCUCUUCUUAUUCCACCCUCAGGAAAUGAAACUAGAAGUGAUAUAGCCCUGUCCACCGGCCAAGAGCGACAGGGAUUGAACCUUGGCAUAUCAGGAUGACGCUGUAACCAACUGGGCUACCCGGCCAGGGCUUACCUGUUUUUUGGAAAUCGAGUUUCCUAUUAUCUGGCUCACUAACAAAGCAUGGCUUACGCUUUGAAAACCCCAGGUGGGCAAAGCGUUUCCCAGAGAAGAAAGGGACUCAUUUUUCUUGGCACACAGCGUGAGCCCACAGGCAUUUCACAUGUUUUAUCUCACGUCACCCUCACGCUAACCCCGAGGGGGACAGGACCACCCCUUCCCCUUGGCAAGAAGAGGAGUCCCAGAGGCGGAGAAAUGACACCGAUGUCCAAAUGUGCCCUUGUCACCAAGGGCAGAGCCAGGAUCCGGGUCCAGGUGUGUGUGGCUACAAAUCCUAAGCUGCAGUCUCUGCGACCCUUUUCAGGAUGGGCGAAAAAAUGCACACAUGCACACACACACGCACACACACACGCACACACACACACACACACACACACACAACUCCCUCUCGUAGGAUUCUCGAGUCCCUCAUCUGGAAGGGGCUGUAUUCCCUCACCCGUUGAUGAGGAUGAGGACCGGCUGCAAAUUCCAGCUCUCCCUUCGCUUCCUGAUCUCGGACAGCGGCCCUUCGCCAGUGGGCAGGCUCCUCACCCCAGGCUGCUCUUCCCCUCCAGAAUGUCUUCGUUUCCCGGCAACAGGAAUCUUUUCUUUUUUGUUCCUUUUGUUCAUGUUCAUGCCAACAGUCAGACAAAGACAAGAAGAUAAACAAUAAAGG
Molecule: long non-coding RNA, 1099 nt
Organism: Myotis daubentonii (Daubenton's bat)
Lineage: Eukaryota; Metazoa; Chordata; Mammalia; Chiroptera; Vespertilionidae
Source: RefSeq, a predicted model, not a curated record